RNAcentral lists this transfer RNA (78 nucleotides) under Acidobacteriota bacterium. Its description in RNAcentral is "tRNA-Glu". It matches the Rfam family "tRNA". Rfam says of the family: Transfer RNA (tRNA) molecules are approximately 80 nucleotides in length. Their secondary structure includes four short double-helical elements and three loops (D, anti-codon, and T loops). Lineage: Bacteria; Pseudomonadati; Acidobacteriota. RNAcentral also lists the same sequence under 3 other names. The record is from RNAcentral.
GACCCCAUCGUCUAGCUAGGUCUAGGACACCGGCCUUUCACGCCGGCAACACGGGUUCAAAUCCCGUUGGGGUCACCA